AAUACCCUACUGUGCCCGUGAUGCAGCACAAGUGUUUUGAGCCAACACCAUCUAAUAGGGGCUCAUAUUCUCGACAGUGAUGCGAUAGGCUUCGGCCAAGGCUGAACUCUCGGAGCGGGUCCCGACCUGCGAUAGCAGGUUCAAAACCCUGUUGCACACGACAUGGUGGGGUUUUU
Molecule: non-coding RNA, 176 nt
Filed under: Anaerolineae bacterium
Lineage: Bacteria; Bacillati; Chloroflexota; Anaerolineae
Description: 6S RNA
Rfam family: 6S / SsrS RNA
About the family: E. coli 6S RNA was the first non coding RNA to be sequenced, but its function was unknown until recently. It consists of 184 nucleotides that fold into an extended hairpin structure with a large single-stranded internal bulge. The 6S RNA specifically associates with RNA polymerase holoenzyme containing the sigma70 specificity factor.
Source: RNAcentral